This 511-nucleotide long non-coding RNA is filed under the name Mytilus galloprovincialis (Mediterranean mussel). The record is from RNAcentral. Lineage: Eukaryota; Metazoa; Mollusca; Bivalvia; Mytilida; Mytilidae.
GUGUUCUUUGAUAUGCUGAAUUUAAAAAUGUACUUAGAUUUUUAAUUAUUGGCCUAGUUUUCAAGUUGGUCCAAAUGGGGGUCCAAAAUUAAACUUUGUUUGAUUUCAUCAAAAAUUGAAUAAAUGGGUUCUUUGAUAUGCCAAAUCUAACUGUGUAUGUAGAUUCUUAAUUUUUGGUCCAGUUUUCAAAUUGGUCUACAUUAAGGUCCAAAGGGUCCAAAAUUAAACUAAGUUUGAUUUUAACAAAAAUUAAAUUCUUGGGCUUAUUUGAUAUGCUUUAUCUAAAUAUGUACUUUGAUUUUUUGAUUAUGGGCCCAGUUUUCAAGUUGGUCCAAAUCAGGAUUCUAUAUCAAGUAUUGUGCAAUAGCAAGAAAUUUUCAAUUGCACAGUAUUGCACAAUAGCAAGAAAUAUCUAAUUGCACAAUAUUGUGCAAUAGCAAUUAAUUUUCAAUUGGAGUUAUCUUUCUUUGUAUAGAAUAGUAGUUGAUAAUAUAUGUUGGAAAUUUGCCAG